This 1483-nucleotide ribosomal RNA is filed under the name metagenome. Its description in RNAcentral is "bacterial SSU rRNA". It matches the Rfam family "Bacterial small subunit ribosomal RNA". The record is from RNAcentral.
AGAGUUUGAUCCUGGCUCAGGAUGAACGCUAGCGACAGGCUUAACACAUGCAAGUCGAGGGGCAGCACAGGUAGCAAUACCGGGUGGCGACCGGCGCACGGGUGAGUAACGCGUAUGCAACUUGCCUAUCAGAGGGGGAUAACCCGGCGAAAGUCGGACUAAUACCGCAUGAAGCAGGGAUCCCGCAUGGGAAUAUUUGCUAAAGAUUCAUCGCUGAUAGAUAGGCAUGCGUUCCAUUAGGCAGUUGGCGGGGUAACGGCCCACCAAACCGACGAUGGAUAGGGGUUCUGAGAGGAAGGUCCCCCACAUUGGUACUGAGACACGGACCAAACUCCUACGGGAGGCAGCAGUGAGGAAUAUUGGUCAAUGGCCGAGAGGCUGAACCAGCCAAGUCGCGUGAGGGAUGAAGGUUUUAUGGAUCGUAAACCUCUUUUAUAAGGGAAUAAAGUGCGGGACGUGUCCCGUUUUGUAUGUACCUUAUGAAUAAGGAUCGGCUAACUCCGUGCCAGCAGCCGCGGUAAUACGGAGGAUCCGAGCGUUAUCCGGAUUUAUUGGGUUUAAAGGGUGCGUAGGCGGCCUUUUAAGUCAGCGGUGAAAGUCUGUGGCUCAACCAUAGAAUUGCCGUUGAAACUGGGGGGCUUGAGUAUGUUUGAGGCAGGCGGAAUGCGUGGUGUAGCGGUGAAAUGCAUAGAUAUCACGCAGAGCCCCGAUUGCGAAGGCAGCCUGCCAAGCCAUUACUGACGCUGAUGCACGAAAGCGUGGGGAUCAAACAGGAUUAGAUACCCUGGUAGUCCACGCAGUAAACGAUGAUCACUAGCUGUUUGCGAUACACUGUAAGCGGCACAGCGGAAGCGUUAAGUGAUCCACCUGGGGAGUACGCCGGCAACGGUGAAACUCAAAGGAAUUGACGGGGGCCCGCACAAGCGGAGGAACAUGUGGUUUAAUUCGAUGAUACGCGAGGAACCUUACCCGGGUUUGAACGCAUUCGGACCGAGGUGGAAACACCUUUUCUAGCAAUAGCCGUUUGCGAGGUGCUGCAUGGUUGUCGUCAGCUCGUGCCGUGAGGUGUCGGCUUAAGUGCCAUAACGAGCGCAACCCUUGCCACUAGUUACUAACAGGUAAAGCUGAGGACUCUGGUGGGACUGCCAGCGUAAGCUGCGAGGAAGGCGGGGAUGACGUCAAAUCAGCACGGCCCUUACAUCCGGGGCGACACACGUGUUACAAUGGCGUGGACAAAGGGAAGCCACCUGGCGACAGGGAGCGAAUCCCCAAACCACGUCUCAGUUCGGAUCGGAGUCUGCAACCCGACUCCGUGAAGCUGGAUUCGCUAGUAAUCGCGCAUCAGCCAUGGCGCGGUGAAUACGUUCCCGGGCCUUGUACACACCGCCCGUCAAGCCAUGGGAGCCGGGGGUACCUGAAGUCCGUAACCGCGAGGAUCGGCCUAGGGUAAAACUGGUGACUGGGGCUAAGUCGUAACAAGGUA